RNAcentral lists this ribosomal RNA (553 nucleotides) under Begonia convolvulacea. RNAcentral describes it as "eukaryotic LSU rRNA". It matches the Rfam family "Eukaryotic large subunit ribosomal RNA", at positions 288 to 844 of the family's 3401-position model. Lineage: Eukaryota; Viridiplantae; Streptophyta; Magnoliopsida; Cucurbitales; Begoniaceae. The record is from RNAcentral.
CCAAUCGGGUGGUAWAUUCCGUCCAAGGCUAAAUAUUGGCGAGAGACCGAUAGCAAACAAGUACCGCGAGGGAAAGAUGAAAAGGACUUUGAGAAAAGAGUCAAAGAGUACUUGAAAUUGUCGGGAGGGAAGCGGAUGGGGGCCGGCGGUGCGUCCCGGUCGGAUGUGGAACGGCUAGUAGCCGGUCUGCCGAUCGACUCGGGGCGUGGACCGACGCGGAUUGGGGCGGCGUCGCAAGCCCGAGCCUUUGUUGUGCUCGCGGAGACGUCGUCGCCUCGAUCGUGGAUGGCAGCGCGCGCCAACGGCGUGCUUCGGCAUCAGCGUGCUCCAGGCGUCGGCCUGCGGGCUCCCCAUUCGGCCCGUCUUGAAACACGGACCAAGGAGUCUGACAUGUGUGCGAGUCAACGGGCCAGAAAACCCGUGAGGCGCAAGGAAGCUGACUGGCGGGAUCCCCUUGAGGGUUGCACCGCCGACCGACCUAGAUCUUCUGAGAAGGGUUCGAGUGUGAGCAUGCCUGUCGGGACCCGAAAGAUGGUGAACUAUGCCUGAGCGG